GUCCGAUGCUAAAGACUGGGGCUCAACCCCAGGGGUGCGUUGGAUACUGUGAGGCUAGACGGUCGGAGGGGGUAGCGGAAUUUCCGGAGUAGCGGUGAAAUGCGCAGAUACCGGAAGGAACGCCAAUAGCGAAGGCAGCUACCUGGACGACUUGUGACGCUGAGGCGCGAAAGCGUGGGGAGCAAACCGGAUUAGAUACCCGGGUAGUCCACGCCCUAAACCAUGAGUGCUGGGUGUCCGGCUUCUGCUGGGUGCCGUAGCUAACGCGCUAAGCACUCCGCCUGGGAAGUACGCACGCAAGUGUGAAACUCAAAGGAAUUGACGGGGGCCCGCACAAGCGGUGGAGCAUGUGGUUUAAUUCGAAGCGACGCGAAGAACCUUACCAGGCCUUGACAUGCCCGGAACCCCUCUGAAAGGAGGGGGUGCCCGCAAGGGAGCCGGGACACAGGUGCUGCAUGGCCGUCGUCAGCUCGUGUCGUGAGAUGUUGGGUUAAGUCCCGCAACGAGCGCAACCCCUAUCCCUAGUUGCCAGCAGUUCGGCUGGGCACUCUAUGGAGACUGCCUGCGAAAGCAGGAGGAAGGCGGGGAUGACGUCUGGUCCGCAUGGCCCUUACGGCCUGGGCGACACACGUGCUACAAUGCCAAGGACAGAGCGCUGCUACCUCGCGAGAGGACGCCAAUCGCAAAAACCUUGGCUCAGUUCGGAUU
This 708-nucleotide ribosomal RNA is filed under the name uncultured Thermaceae bacterium. RNAcentral's name for it is "bacterial SSU rRNA". It matches the Rfam family "Bacterial small subunit ribosomal RNA", at positions 587 to 1299 of the family's 1533-position model. Lineage: Bacteria; Thermotogati; Deinococcota; Deinococci; Thermales; Thermaceae. The record is from RNAcentral.